ACAAGCGGUGGAUGAUGUGGAUUAAUUCGAUGCAACGCGAAAACCUUACCUACCUUGACAUGUCCGGAAUCCUGCAGAGAUGCGGGAGUGCCGAAAGGGAAUCGGAACACAGGUGCUGCAUGGCUGUCGUCAGCUCGUGUCGUGAGAUGUUGGGUUAAGUCCCGCAACGAGCGCAACCCUUAUCAUUAGUUGCUACGCAAGGGCACUCUAAUGAGACUGCCGGUGACAAACCGGAGGAAGGUGGGGAUGACGUCAAGUCCUCAUGGCCCUUAUGGGUAGGGCUUCACACGUCAUACAAUGGUCGGUACAGAGGGUUGCCAAGCCGCGAGGUGGAGCCAAUCCCAGAAAGCCGAUCGUAGUCCGGAUUGUUCUCUGCAACUCGAGAGCAUGAAGUCGGAAUCGCUAGUAAUCGCGGAUCAGCAUGUCGCGGUGAAUACGUUCCCGGGUCUU
This 450-nucleotide ribosomal RNA is filed under the name uncultured Thiobacillus sp. Its description in RNAcentral is "bacterial SSU rRNA". It matches the Rfam family "Bacterial small subunit ribosomal RNA", at positions 925 to 1382 of the family's 1533-position model. The record is from RNAcentral. Lineage: Bacteria; Pseudomonadati; Pseudomonadota; Betaproteobacteria; Nitrosomonadales; Thiobacillaceae.